UAUUGCACAAUGGGGGAAACCCUGAUGCAGCGACGCCGCGUGAGUGAAGAAGUAUNUCNNUAUGUNANGCUCUAUCAGCAGGGNNNNNAAUGACGGUACCUGACUAAGAAGCCCCGUCUAACUACGUUCCAGCAGCCGCGGUAAUACGUAGGGGUCAAGCGUUAUCCGGAUUUACUGGGUGUAAAGGGAGCGUGUGUGGUUGGGUAAGUCAGAUGUGAAAGCACGGGGCUCAACCCCGGGACUGCAUUUGAAACUAUCAAACUAGAGUGCAGGAGAGGUAAGUGGAAUUCCUAGUGUAGCGGUGAAAUGCGUAGAUAUUAGGAGGAACACCAGUGGCGAAGGCGGCUUACUGGACUGUAACUGACACUGAGGCUCGAAAGCGUGGGGAGCAAACAG
This 396-nucleotide ribosomal RNA is filed under the name uncultured bacterium. RNAcentral's name for it is "partial 16S ribosomal RNA". It matches the Rfam family "Bacterial small subunit ribosomal RNA", at positions 362 to 775 of the family's 1533-position model. The record is from RNAcentral.